UCACUGAGAGCUUCUACUUCUAAG
RNAcentral lists this non-coding RNA (24 nucleotides) under Cricetulus griseus (Chinese hamster). The record is from RNAcentral. Lineage: Eukaryota; Metazoa; Chordata; Mammalia; Rodentia; Cricetidae.